This 94-nucleotide non-coding RNA is filed under the name Paenibacillus sp. RNAcentral's name for it is "c-di-GMP sequence". It matches the Rfam family "c-di-GMP-I riboswitch aptamer". From Rfam's summary of the family: GEMM was predicted in a large-scale screen for bacterial structured RNA regulatory elements. Genes associated with GEMM are involved in a diverse array of functions, including chemotaxis regulation, signal transduction, secretion and chitin. Lineage: Bacteria; Bacillati; Bacillota; Bacilli; Caryophanales; Paenibacillaceae. RNAcentral also lists the same sequence under 1 other name. The record is from RNAcentral.
GAUACCUAUAGGCAAACUUGCUGAAAAGUAAGGACGCAAAGCUCAGGGUCUAAGGUUUCUUACAUGAAGAGACUAUGACAGCCUAGCCGCCGAU